Non-coding RNA from Dipodomys ordii (Ord's kangaroo rat), 72 nucleotides. Lineage: Eukaryota; Metazoa; Chordata; Mammalia; Rodentia; Heteromyidae. The record is from Rfam.
GGGAAGGUGGCUCAGUGGUAGAGUGCUUGCCUUGCAUGCAUGAGGUCCUGGGUUCAACUCCUCAGAACCCCA